Molecule: ribosomal RNA, 678 nt
Filed under: Triticum aestivum (bread wheat)
Lineage: Eukaryota; Viridiplantae; Streptophyta; Magnoliopsida; Poales; Poaceae
Description: partial small subunit ribosomal RNA
Source: RNAcentral
AGAGCGAGCAAUAUCAUGCUUGACUCUUCCUUCCAUGGUCGCCUCGGUGACUUUGGCCUUGCACACAUCGUCACUUUGAACAAGAACUCCUACACAGAUGUGGGUGUCGCCGGAACCUGGGGCUUCAUUGCGCCAGAGUACUCAGUCUGCCACAAGGCCACUCGCAAGACUGACGUAUAUGCCUUUGGGGUGCUAGUCCUCGAGAUUGUUACCGGAGAACGGGCACUUGCUGGGAACCAUGACCAUGAGACGCUUCAACCGCUCACCGACUGGGUCUGGUGGGUUCACCGGGAGGGAAGGUUGCUCCAUGCGGUGGACGACAAAGUCACUUCCACCCAAGAAUUUGAUCCCAAUGACGCUACUCGCUUGUUGCUUCUUGGACUGGCUUGUAGCAACCCGAACCCGUCUGACCGACCAAGCAUGGCCGAGGUAGUGCAAGUCCUAGCCAAAUCAGUGCCGCCACCGGAAGUGCCGCUUGUGAAACCUAUAUUUGUUUGGCCACCUGAAGGCGGGAUCCCCAUGGAAUUUGAUCACGUGGUGGCAAUGAGCAGCCUCGACUGGGAGGACAUGUCUAGUAGUGAAGCCCUACGGGCGAGCAUACCAUCAGAGGUGAAUAGGCGCAAGGCUCGAGUUGGGCAUUCCAAUGCAUCUGUAUCAGCUGAGGAUUAUUAUGUGUAG